UACUGAAAUUAGUCUAAAUGAUGUAUUUUUCAAUGAUCUUGAUUGCAAAUAAAUGGUUCUAAACAUAUGAUAUUAUUUUGAUAUUAAAAAGAUUUAUGGUGCUUCAUAUAUACAUUGCUGAAAAACUAUGAUUAAAAAAUUAAUAUUUUGAAUAUACACUCCUACAUAAUUAAAUGCUUCUAUCAUUAAAAAGAAAAGCUAUUUUUUAAGAAGAGAGUUAAUGAUCCUAAAGCUUAGAAUAUUUCAACUCACUUCAAUAAUUCUUAUAGGAAAGAAAAUGUAAUUACUUUUGAAAGAAAUUUGAGCUUCAAAAGAAUUAUUUUCUGAUUAAUAUCUCCAUACAUAUUCAAAAAAAAAUAAGAGGAAAUAUAAUUUAUUCUUGAAAGAUUAAAAAGAGUGAUUGCUAUAAAUUUUGAAAAAUUCUAGAUCACUCUACAUUCUUGAUAUUAUAGAAGAACAAAAAAAAAGGUUUGAAAGAAAAU
This 482-nucleotide long non-coding RNA is filed under the name Phoenix dactylifera (date palm). RNAcentral's name for it is "long non-coding RNA (PDAC_LNC010560)". The record is from RNAcentral. Lineage: Eukaryota; Viridiplantae; Streptophyta; Magnoliopsida; Arecales; Arecaceae.